GUGCCAGGCAGCCGCGGUAAUACCGGCAGCCCGAGUGAUGACCGAUAUUAUUGGGCCUAAAGCGUCCGUAGCUGGCUGCGCAAGUCCGUCGGGAAGUCCACUCGCCCAACGAGUGGGCGUCCGACGGAAACUGCACAGCUUGGGACCGGAAGGCUCGAAGGGUACGUCCAGGGUAGGAGUGAAAUCCCGUAAUCCUGGACGGACCGCCGAUGGCGAAAGCACGUCGCGAGAACGGAUCCGACAGUGAGGGACGAAAGCUAGGGUCUCGAACCGGAUUAGAUACCCUGGUAGUCC
RNAcentral lists this ribosomal RNA (294 nucleotides) under uncultured bacterium. Its description in RNAcentral is "partial 16S ribosomal RNA". It matches the Rfam family "Archaeal small subunit ribosomal RNA", at positions 455 to 747 of the family's 1478-position model. The record is from RNAcentral.